Molecule: ribosomal RNA, 252 nt
Filed under: uncultured bacterium
Lineage: Bacteria
Description: partial 16S ribosomal RNA
Rfam family: Bacterial small subunit ribosomal RNA
Source: RNAcentral
CACGUAGGGUGCGAGCGUUGUCCGGAAUUAUUGGGCGUAAAGAGCUCGUAGGCGGUGUGUCGCGUCGGCCGUGAAAACCUGCAGCUUAACUGUGGGCUUGCGGUCGAUACGGGCAUCACUGGAGUUCGGCAGGGGAGACUGGAAUUCCUGGUGUAGCGGUGAAAUGCGCAGAUAUCAGGAAGAACACCCCGUGGCGAAGGCGGUCUCUGGGACGGACGACGCUGAGACGCGAAAGCGUGGGGAGCGAACAGG